Molecule: non-coding RNA, 427 nt
Organism: Equus caballus (horse)
Lineage: Eukaryota; Metazoa; Chordata; Mammalia; Perissodactyla; Equidae
Source: RefSeq, a predicted model, not a curated record
CGCCUGCUGGCCGGGGCUCUGGGCCCACCCCUUGCCAGGGCGGCGGGCUUGUCGGGACACGUUAGGACUUUGUGCCCCUUCGGAAGACUGUUGCCCGGGGAUGCCCAGCUGCAGAGCUGGCAAGUGGCCGAAGCCGGCUUGGGGCCUUGGGGCAGCCUUGUAACUGGAAGGGCGGAUGUGGCAGGUGCCUUCGCUGCCCACUCCGAGCCUGUCCUCUCACGGACGAUGCUGCUGCUGCUGCUGCCGCCGCCACCGCUGGGCUUCCCUCUCCUGUUUCCAUCGCUCUUUGCCCAGACACAUUUUUAACUGGAAAUUGUCACAGCAGUGGGAUCCCGGAGUCCCAGACGGCACUGCCGUCCCCGACAUUAAUGUGAAUUUGACUGUGAAUGAGGAGCGUUUCUAAUAAAGUUUGUCGUUCAGUCCUUCA